AGAGUUUGAUCCUGGCUCAGGAUGAACGCUGGCGGCGUGCUUAACACAUGCAAGUCGAACGAACCUUCGGGUUAGUGGCGGACGGGUGAGUAACGCGUGGGAAUCUGCCCUCAGGAGGGGGAUAACGGUUGGAAACGACCGCUAAUACCCCAUAUGCCGAGAGGUGAAAUGAAUUUCGCCUGAGGAUGAGCCCGCGUCUGAUUAGCUUGUUGGUGAGGUAAUGGCUCACCAAGGCUUCGAUCAGUAGCUGGUCUGAGAGGAUGAUCAGCCACACUGGGACUGAGACACGGCCCAGACUCCUACGGGAGGCAGCAGUGGGGAAUUUUCCGCAAUGGGCGAAAGCCUGACGGAGCAACGCCGCGUGAGGGACGAAGGCCUCUGGGCUGUAAACCUCUUUUCUCAAGGAAGAAGAUAUGACGGUACUUGAGGAAUAAGCCACGGCUAAUUCCGUGCCAGCAGCCGCGGUAAUACGGGAGUGGCAAGCGUUAUCCGGAAUUAUUGGGCGUAAAGCGUCCGCAGGCGGCCUUUCAAGUCUGCUGUUAAAGCGUGGAGCUUAACUCCAUCAUGGCAGUGGAAACUGAUAGGCUUGAGUAUGGUAGGGGCAGAGGGAAUUCCCGGUGUAGCGGUGAAAUGCGUAGAUAUCGGGAAGAACACCAGUGGCGAAGGCGCUCUGCUGGGCCAUAACUGACGCUCAUGGACGAAAGCCAGGGGAGCGAAAGGGAUUAGAUACCCCUGUAGUCCUGGCCGUAAACGAUGAACACUAGGUGUCGGGGGAAUCGACCCCUUCGGUGUCGUAGCUAACGCGUUAAGUGUUCCGCCUGGGGAGUACGCACGCAAGUGUGAAACUCAAAGGAAUUGACGGGGGCCCGCACAAGCGGUGGAGUAUGUGGUUUAAUUCGAUGCAACGCGAAGAACCUUACCAGGGCUUGACAUCCUGCGAACCUUUAAGAAAUUAGAGGGUGCCUUCGGGAACGCAGUGACAGGUGGUGCAUGGCUGUCGUCAGCUCGUGUCGUGAGAUGUUGGGUUAAGUCCCGCAACGAGCGCAACCCACGUUUUUAGUUGCCAGCAUUUAGUUGGGCACUCUAGAAAGACCGCCGGUGAUAAACCGGAGGAAGGUGUGGAUGACGUCAAGUCAUCAUGCCCCUUACGUCCUGGGCUACACACGUACUACAAUGCUACGGACAAAGGGCAGCAAACUCGCGAGAGCUAGCAAAUCCCAUAAACCGUGGCUCAGUUCAGAUCGUAGGCUGCAACUCGCCUACGUGAAGUAGGAAUCGCUAGUAAUCGCAGGUCAGCAUACUGCGGUGAAUACGUUCCCGGGCCUUGUACACACCGCCCGUCACACCAUGGAAGUUGGCCACGCCCGAAGUCGUUACUUUAACCCUUGUGGAGAAGGACGCCGAAGGUGGGGCUGAUGACUGGGGUGAAGUCGUAACAAGGUAGCCGUACCGGAAGGUGCGGCUG
RNAcentral lists this ribosomal RNA (1465 nucleotides) under Prochlorococcus sp. AG-455-B05. RNAcentral's name for it is "bacterial SSU rRNA". It matches the Rfam family "Bacterial small subunit ribosomal RNA". The record is from RNAcentral. Lineage: Bacteria; Bacillati; Cyanobacteriota; Cyanophyceae; Synechococcales; Prochlorococcaceae.